GAAAGAUGAAAAGAACUUUGAAAAGAGAGUUAAACAGUACGUGAAAUUGUUGAAAGGGAAACGAUUGAAGCCAGUCGUACCUUCGGGUAAUCAGCCUUUCGGGUGCGAUUCUGUGGAGUGUGAGGAGCUUAACACCUUCAUGCUUUGCAUAUUUGUGCUCUUGGGUGUACUUGCCCGUGUGGUUGGUUAACAUCAAUUUUGGUUAUCAUAAAAUGACUGGAGGAAUGUAGCUUCGAUCUCGUAUUGAAGUGUUAUA
RNAcentral lists this ribosomal RNA (256 nucleotides) under uncultured Rhizophagus. RNAcentral's name for it is "partial large subunit ribosomal RNA". It matches the Rfam family "Eukaryotic large subunit ribosomal RNA", at positions 359 to 630 of the family's 3401-position model. Lineage: Eukaryota; Fungi; Glomeromycota; Glomeromycetes; Glomerales; Glomeraceae. The record is from RNAcentral.